This 520-nucleotide ribosomal RNA is filed under the name uncultured microorganism. Its description in RNAcentral is "bacterial SSU rRNA". It matches the Rfam family "Bacterial small subunit ribosomal RNA", at positions 9 to 525 of the family's 1533-position model. The record is from RNAcentral.
GAGUUUGAUCGUGGCUCAGAUUGAACGCUGGCGGAAUGCUUUACACAUGCAAGUCGAGCGGCAGCGCGGGGCAACCUGGCGGCGAGCGGCGAACGGGUGAGUAAUACAUCGGAACGUGCCCAGACGUGGGGGGAUAACUACUGGAAAGAGUAGCUAAUACCGCAUACGAUCUAAGGAUGAAAGCGGGGGAUCGCAAGACCUCGCGCGUUUGGAGCGGCCGAUGGCAGAUUAGGUAGUUGGUGGGGUAAAGGCUUACCAAGCCUGCGAUCUGUAGCUGGUCUGAGAGGACGACCAGCCACACUGGGACUGAGACACGGCCCAGACUCCUACGGGAGGCAGCAGUUGGGAAUUUUGGACAAUGGGCGAAAGCCUGAUCCAGCCAUUCCGCGUGCAGGAUGAAGGCCCUCGGGUUGUAAACUGCUUUUGUACAGAACGAAAAGACUCUGGUUAAUACCUGGAGUCCAUGACGGUACUGUAAGAAUAAGCACCGGCUAACUACGUGCCAGCAGCCGCGGUAACG